Pantoea sp. PSNIH1 is the source of this 115-nucleotide non-coding RNA. NCBI's taxonomy places the organism in Bacteria, Pseudomonadati, Pseudomonadota, Gammaproteobacteria, Enterobacterales, Erwiniaceae. The record is from Rfam.
CAAUUAAUUAUCUGGAGGAUCCUGUUGAACAGUCAACCUUAUCGAUGGCGAUAUAAGGCAAGCUGACGCACGGAUUUUUUCCCUGCUGCUUGCCACUCUGGCGGCGGCACCUUCU